Molecule: ribosomal RNA, 429 nt
Filed under: bacterium
Lineage: Bacteria
Description: partial 16S ribosomal RNA
Rfam family: Bacterial small subunit ribosomal RNA
Source: RNAcentral
UAGGGAAUCUUCGGCAAUGGGGGCAACCCUGACCGAGCAACGCCGCGUGAGUGAAGAAGGUUUUCGGAUCGUAAAGCUCUGUUGUAAGAGAAGAACGUGUGUGAGAGUGGAAAGUUCACACAGUGACGGUAACUUACAAGAAAGGGACGGCUAACUACGUGCCAGCAGCCGCGGUAAUACGUAGGUCCCGAGCGUUGUCCGGAUUUAUUGGGCGUAAAGCGAGCGCAGGCGGUUUAAUAAGUCUGAAGUUAAAGGCAGUGGCUUAACCAUUGUUCGCUUUGGAAACUGUUAGACUUGAGUGCAGAAGUGGAGAGUGGAAUUCCAUGUGUAUCGGUGAAAUGCGUAGAUAUAUGGAGGAACACCGGUGGCGAAGGCAGCUCUCUGGUCUGUAACUGACGCUGAGGCUCGAAAGCGUGGGGAGCAAACAGG